This 498-nucleotide long non-coding RNA is filed under the name Homo sapiens (human). RNAcentral describes it as "HSALNT0057183". The record is from RNAcentral. Lineage: Eukaryota; Metazoa; Chordata; Mammalia; Primates; Hominidae.
GCCUUGUUGCUCACACAAAGCCUGUUUGGUGGUUUCUUCACAGGGAUGUGCAUGAAAUUUGGUGCCAUGAUUCAGACCCCACUGGAAAUCGGACUGUUCAACUCACCUGGCAGCCACUCCCAGAGCCCCUGGAACUCUGGCCCAAGGCUCUCUGACUGACUCCUUCCCAGAUCUUCUCGGCUUAGCAGCUGAAGACUGACAUUGCCCGAUCACCUCGGAAGCCUACAGGACCAUCACGGAUGCUGUGAGUAACUCUCACAGUGGACGAUGCAGCAUAAAAUAUACCAGAAACCUAAACCACCGAAUCUUUCACAUCUGUUUUUCCUACUUUAAACAUCAAAGACUUCAAUUUUUUUUUUCUUUUUCGUUUCUGUUCUCUGUAUAAUACUGUAAAGAGCAGUGUGUAAAUGUCAUUGACUAAGGUUGAUAAAGUAAGCACUGAUAAUAAACUUUUCUGUAUUCUCAGAAUUCAUAUUUUAAUUUUUCAUACAACUAAUG